RNAcentral lists this ribosomal RNA (379 nucleotides) under uncultured cyanobacterium. Its description in RNAcentral is "bacterial SSU rRNA". It matches the Rfam family "Bacterial small subunit ribosomal RNA", at positions 376 to 770 of the family's 1533-position model. The record is from RNAcentral. Lineage: Bacteria; Bacillati; Cyanobacteriota.
CGAAAGCCUGACGGAGCAAGACCGCGUGAGGGAGGAAGGCUCUUGGGUUGUAAACCUCUUUUCUCAGGGAAGAAGCUCUGACGGUACCUGAGGAAUCAGCCUCGGCUAACUCCGUGCCAGCAGCCGCGGUAAUACGGAGGAGGCAAGCGUUAUCCGGAAUGAUUGGGCGUAAAGCGUCCGCAGGUGGUUCUUCAAGUCUGCUGUUAAAGACAGUGGCUCAACUACUGAAAGGCAGUAGAUACUGAAGGACUAGAGGGCGGUAGGGGCAGAGGGAAUUCCCGGUGUAGCGGUGAAAUGCGUAGAUUUCGGGAAGAACAUCGGUGGCGAAAGCGCUUUGCUAGACCGAAACUGACACUCAGGGACGAAAGCUAGGGGAGCG